Tympanuchus pallidicinctus (lesser prairie-chicken) is the source of this 547-nucleotide long non-coding RNA. RefSeq lists it as uncharacterized. Lineage: Eukaryota; Metazoa; Chordata; Aves; Galliformes; Phasianidae. The record is from RefSeq and is a predicted model, not a curated record. The transcript is spliced from 7 exons.
AGCUUAUGGGGUCAGGAGCAGCUUAUAGGGUUUAUAGGGUCAAGGUUGGGGUUAUGGGGUCAAGGUUGGGUUUAUAGGGUCAAGGUUGGGUUUAUGGGGUCAAGGUUGGGUUUAUAGGGUCAAGGUUGGGUUUAUAGGGUCAAGGUUGGUUUUAUGGGGUCAAGGUUGGGUUUAUGGGGUCAAGGUUGGCUUUAUAGGGUCAAGGAUGGGGUUAUGGGGUCAAGGUUGGGUUUAUAGGGUCAAGGUUGGGUUUAUAGGGUCAAGGUUGGCUUUAUAGGGUCAAGGUUGGGUUUAUGGGGUCAAGGUUGGGUUUAUGGGGUCAAGGUUGAGUUUAUAGGGCCAAGGUUGGGUUUAUGGGGUCAAGGUUGGGUUUAUGGGGUCAGGGAUGGGUUGGAUGGGUUUAUAGGGUCGCGGUUGGCUUUAUAGGGUCAAGGCUGGCUUUAUGGGGUCGCCGCUCCCUAUAGGAUUUCUUAUGGGGUCCUUAUGGGGUCGCAGCCCCCCACACCUUGCGCAGGCGCCCCAUUUCCUCUUGUAGGGUUUUGAGGCG